CGGGUGAGUAACACGUGGAUAACCUACCUAUAAGACUGGGAUAACUUCGGGAAACCGGAGCUAAUACCGGAUAAUAUAUUGAACCGCAUGGUUCAAUAGUGAAAGACGGUUUUGCUGUCACUUAUAGAUGGAUCCGCGCUGCAUUAGCUAGUUGGUAAGGUAACGGCGUACCAAGGCAACGAUGCGUAGCCGACCUGAGAGGGUGAUCGGCCACACUGGAACUGAGACACGGUCCAGACUCCUACGGGAGGCAGCAGCU
Molecule: ribosomal RNA, 259 nt
Filed under: uncultured Staphylococcus sp.
Lineage: Bacteria; Bacillati; Bacillota; Bacilli; Caryophanales; Staphylococcaceae
Description: partial 16S ribosomal RNA
Rfam family: Bacterial small subunit ribosomal RNA
Source: RNAcentral